GGGGGUGUAGCUCAGUUGGGAGAGCGUCUGGUUUGCAACCAGAAGGUCAGCGGUUCAACUCCGCUCAUCUCCA
This 73-nucleotide transfer RNA is filed under the name Candidatus Poribacteria bacterium. RNAcentral's name for it is "tRNA-Ala". It matches the Rfam family "tRNA". Rfam says of the family: Transfer RNA (tRNA) molecules are approximately 80 nucleotides in length. Their secondary structure includes four short double-helical elements and three loops (D, anti-codon, and T loops). Lineage: Bacteria; Candidatus Poribacteria. The record is from RNAcentral.